Molecule: long non-coding RNA, 205 nt
Filed under: Gossypium barbadense (sea-island cotton)
Lineage: Eukaryota; Viridiplantae; Streptophyta; Magnoliopsida; Malvales; Malvaceae
Description: long non-coding RNA (GBAR_LNC005685)
Source: RNAcentral
UCUGUUCGUCCAAACUCGCCUAAGUCAGCUUUUACUCAAGUGAGGACUCCUUAAGGACUCCUCCAAGGCACCAAUUGUAGAGCGGAAGUAAACUUAUGCCAAAAGAAGCCACAAAGAAUAACAGAAAGCCACGGAAAAGAUUGCACACAAGGUGUUUGAGUAAAUGCUCUCAGAAUUCUAUUACUUUUAAGAAUUCACAUACAAU